GACGAACGCUGGCGGCGUGCUUAACACAUGCAAGUCGAACGGAAAGGCCUGCUUUCCCUUGUGGAUUGCGGGUACUCGAGUGGCGAACGGGUGAGUAACACGUGAGUGAUCUGCCCCCAACUUGGGUAUAAGCCUGGGAAACUGGGUCUAAUUCCCGAUAGGACUGCAGGGUGGUGCCUGUGGUGGAAAACGAUUUUCUAGUGGUUGGGGAUGAGCUCGCGGCCUAUCAGCUUGUUGGUGGGGUAAUGGCCUACCAAGGCGGCGACGGGUAGCCGGCCUGAGAGGGUGGACGGCCACAUUGGGACUGAGAUACGGCCCAGACUCCUACGGGAGGCAGCAGGGGGGAAUAUUGCACAAUGGGCGGAAGCCUGAUGCAGCGACGCCGCGUGGGGGAUGACGGCCUUCGGGUUGUAAACUCCUUUCGACCGCGAGGAAGCCACCUGGUUGGAAGGGUGGUGACGGUAGUGGUAGAAGAGGCACCGGCUAACUACGUG
This 494-nucleotide ribosomal RNA is filed under the name uncultured bacterium. RNAcentral's name for it is "partial 16S ribosomal RNA". It matches the Rfam family "Bacterial small subunit ribosomal RNA", at positions 28 to 507 of the family's 1533-position model. The record is from RNAcentral.